CAUGCAGCCGCGGGAAUACGGAGGAUCCAAGCGUUAUCCGGAAUCAUUGGGUUUAAAGGGUCCGUAGGCGGUCUUGUAAGUCAGUGGUGAAAGCCCAUCGCUCAACGGUGGAACGGCCAUUGAUACUGCAGGACUUGAAUUAUUGGGAAGUAACUAGAAUAUGUAGUGUAGCGGUGAAAUGCUUAGAGAUUACAUGGAAUACCAAUUGCGAAGGCAGGUUACUACCAAUUGAUUGACGCUGAUGGACGAAAGCGUGGGUAGCGAACAGGAUUAGAUACCCCGGUAGUCCCUGUCUCUUAUA
Molecule: ribosomal RNA, 301 nt
Filed under: uncultured bacterium
Lineage: Bacteria
Description: partial 16S ribosomal RNA
Rfam family: Bacterial small subunit ribosomal RNA
Source: RNAcentral